Molecule: ribosomal RNA, 968 nt
Filed under: Alteromonas sp.
Lineage: Bacteria; Pseudomonadati; Pseudomonadota; Gammaproteobacteria; Alteromonadales; Alteromonadaceae
Description: bacterial SSU rRNA
Rfam family: Bacterial small subunit ribosomal RNA
Source: RNAcentral
ACCUGCAGUCGAACGGAAACAUGUCUAGCUUGCUAGAUGAUGUCGAGUGGCGGACGGGUGAGUAAUGCUUGGGAACUUGCCUUUGCGAGGGGGAUAACAGUUGGAAACGACUGCUAAUACCGCAUAAUGUCUUCGGACCAAACGGGGCUUCGGCUCCGGCGCAAAGAGAGGCCCAAGUGAGAUUAGCUAGUUGGUGAGGUAAAGGCUCACCAAGGCAACGAUCUCUAGCUGUUCUGAGAGGAAGAUCAGCCACACUGGGACUGAGACACGGCCCAGACUCCUACGGGAGGCAGCAGUGGGGAAUAUUGCACAAUGGGGGAAACCCUGAUGCAGCCAUGCCGCGUGUGUGAAGAAGGCCUUCGGGUUGUAAAGCACUUUCAGUUGUGAGGAAAAGUUAGUAGUUAAUACCUGCUAGCCGUGACGUUAACAACAGAAGAAGCACCGGCUAACUCCGUGCCAGCAGCCGCGGUAAUACGGAGGGUGCGAGCGUUAAUCGGAAUUACUGGGCGUAAAGCGCACGCAGGCGGUUUGUUAAGCUAGAUGUGAAAGCCCCGGGCUCAACCUGGGACGGUCAUUUAGAACUGGCAGACUAGAGUCUUGGAGAGGGGAGUGGAAUUCCAGGUGUAGCGGUGAAAUGCGUAGAUAUCUGGAGGAACAUCAGUGGCGAAGGCGACUCCCUGGCCAAAGACUGACGCUCAUGUGCGAAAGUGUGGGUAGCGAACAGGAUUAGAUACCCUGGUAGUCCACACCGUAAACGCUGUCUACUAGCUGUUUGUGGCUUUAAGCCGUGAGUAGCGAAGCUAACGCGAUAAGUAGACCGCCUGGGGAGUACGGCCGCAAGGUUAAAACUCAAAUGAAUUGACGGGGGCCCGCACAAGCGGUGGAGCAUGUGGUUUAAUUCGAUGCAACGCGAAGAACCUUACCUACACUUGACAUGUUGAGAAUUACUAGAGAUAGUUUCGUGCCUU